Molecule: ribosomal RNA, 426 nt
Filed under: Gangesia parasiluri
Lineage: Eukaryota; Metazoa; Platyhelminthes; Cestoda; Proteocephalidea; Proteocephalidae
Description: partial 16S ribosomal RNA
Rfam family: Bacterial large subunit ribosomal RNA
Source: RNAcentral
UUCCAUACUCAUACAAUAUGUAUGGUAGUACCUGCUCUAUGUUGGAUGAUAAAUGGCCGCAGUAUCUUGACUGUGCGAAGGUAGCAUAAUUAAUUGCCUUAUAAUUGAAGGCUUGUUUGAAUGGUUUGACGCGGUAAAUACAAACAUUUGAAAAAUUUUUGAAAUUAAUAUGGAGGGCACAGAAUCCUCCUUUUUUAAUUAGACGGAAAGACCCCAGGAUCUUUCAGUUUUGUCUGGGGCAGAUACAAGUAUUUCACUUUUAUUGUGACCCGACUAGUUUGGUGAGUAAGUUACCCUGGGGAUAACAGUGUAAUAGUUUAUUAGAGGUCUUAUCGAAUAAACUGUUUGCUACCUCGAUGUUGACUUAGGUAAAUAAGCUAGGCGCAGUAGCUUAGCAUUAUGGUCUGUUCGACCAUUCAUACCUCC